CUUGAACUCACUUUGUAGCCCAGGCUGACCUCCAGUUCACAGAGAUCCUCCUGCCUCAGCCUCCUGAGUGCUGGGAU
This 77-nucleotide microRNA precursor is filed under the name Cavia porcellus (domestic guinea pig). RNAcentral's name for it is "miRNA (ENSCPOG00000039134.1)". Lineage: Eukaryota; Metazoa; Chordata; Mammalia; Rodentia; Caviidae. The record is from RNAcentral.